AUCUGUGAACAAAUCACGCUGAAUUCUCCCGAUCUCGUCAGAGCUCAGAAGCUAAGCAGCCAUGAGCCUAGGUCAUACUUAGAUGGGUGGCCACCAGGGUUUGCCGGGUGAUGCAAGUU
RNAcentral lists this ribosomal RNA (119 nucleotides) under Petromyzon marinus (sea lamprey). Lineage: Eukaryota; Metazoa; Chordata; Hyperoartia; Petromyzontiformes; Petromyzontidae. The record is from RNAcentral.